UACGGGAGGCAGCAGUGGGGAAUAUUGCACAAUGGGCGCAAGCCUGAUGCAGCCAUGCCGCGUGUAUGAAGAAGGCCUUCGGGUUGUAAAGUACUUUCAGUCGUGAGGAAGGUGUUAAGGUUAAUAACCUUAGCAAUUGACGUUAGCGACAGAAGAAGCACCGGCUAACUCCGUGCCAGCAGCCGCGGUAAUACGGAGGGUGCGAGCGUUAAUCGGAAUUACUGGGCGUAAAGGGCACGCAGGCGGUUAAUUAAGUUGGAUGUGAAUCCCCGGGCUUAACCUGGGAAUGGCAUUCAAGACUGGUUAGCUAGAGUCUUGUAGAGGGGGUAGAAUUCCAUGUGUAGCGGUGAAAUGCGUAGAGAUGUGGAGGAAUACCGGUGGCGAAGGCGGCCCCUGGACAAAGACUGACGCUCAUGUGCGAAAGCGUGGGGAGCAAAC
This 438-nucleotide ribosomal RNA is filed under the name uncultured bacterium. RNAcentral describes it as "bacterial SSU rRNA". It matches the Rfam family "Bacterial small subunit ribosomal RNA", at positions 340 to 773 of the family's 1533-position model. The record is from RNAcentral.